AGCGAACGCUGGCGGCAGGCCUAACACAUGCAAGUCGAACGAACCUUUCGGGGUUAGUGGCGGACGGGUGAGUAACACGUGGGAACGUGCCUUUAGGUUCGGAAUAACUCAGGGAAACUUGUGCUAAUACCGAAUGUGCCCUUCGGGGGAAAGAUUAAUCGCCUUUAGAGCGGCCCGCGUCUGAUUAGCUAAUUGGUUGAGGUAAUGGCUCACCAAGGCGACGAUCAGUAGCUGGUCUGAGAGGAUGAUCAGCCACAUUGGGACUGAGACACGGCCCAAACUCCUACGGGAGGCAGCAGUGGGGAAUCUUGCGCAAUGGGCGAAAGCCUGACGCAGCCAUGCCGCGUGAAUGAUGAAGGUCUUAGGAUUGUAAAAUUCUUUCACCGGGGACGAUAAUGACGGUACCCGGAGAAGAAGCCCCGGCUAACUUCGUG
RNAcentral lists this ribosomal RNA (434 nucleotides) under uncultured bacterium. RNAcentral describes it as "partial 16S ribosomal RNA". It matches the Rfam family "Bacterial small subunit ribosomal RNA", at positions 29 to 507 of the family's 1533-position model. The record is from RNAcentral.